GUGUUUAUGACCUGGAUGUUGAGUGGCUUUUAAACCUUCUACAUAAGCACCAUUUCCGGCCUCUUUGAGUCCCAGGUGACGAUCUCCUUUUAUUUUCAGAUUCUUACUGAGGUGCUGUUUUCCACAUGCAGUGCUUGGCUGUGUUGGAGGCCACCAAGAAAGACUUCCUGGCUGUCAUGUGGAAGCUAAGUGGGCUGGGGUCAAAAGGGUUUCUGGCCAUGGUGCUUGUGCUGCAGUGAUCUUGUUCUCCAUCACACUCCAACACAGGUAGCCAUCUUCACCCUCUCCCAAGAGGUGAUGGUACGACUCUGAAUAAACACUCUAUUAUUAUAAAUAAAGUGUGACUGUGUCUUGUAGUCCACCCACCAACCUUUUUCUGUUCAGUGGUUUGACUUGUGCUACACAGAGGUGAGUCCAGUUAUGCUGCAAGAAGUGUAAGUAUGAUGGGGUUGACGAGUAGGAGGAGAGGUUCUUCCUGUGCAAGGUGCUGCUCUCUCUUCUUUCAGCAUAGCUCCUGGUCUCAGAACAGGUUUAGUUCAUCGUUGCUGGUGUUGUGUAGAGGAUGUUAUAUUGUGAAAGUCACAACUAUCCCUGCUCAAGGUCUUGUGAAAUAUUUGACCUUAUUUGUGACUAUAUUCACCGUGAUGCUUUCAGCAGUUACUACAUUAGUGUCCUUAAUUUUUUACUAUUUAAAGAUUGUUUUAAAGUUUAUUACAGGCUCAAUGAAUGUUCUUCUCCUUCACUAGAAGAUAAAGGCCCAGUUUCACAGACAGGGUUUACAUUAAGCCAGGAUUAGAUCUUCGAUCAAUUAGGACAUUUCAGUAGCUUUUAUAAACGUGUCUUAGAAAAAAAUAUUUCUGGUGCACAUCCUGAGAUAAAACAAUGGCACUGACGUGUUUUAAGAUCCAU
Molecule: long non-coding RNA, 909 nt
Organism: Ictalurus punctatus (channel catfish)
Lineage: Eukaryota; Metazoa; Chordata; Actinopteri; Siluriformes; Ictaluridae
Source: Ensembl